Molecule: long non-coding RNA, 1560 nt
Organism: Cucumis sativus (cucumber)
Lineage: Eukaryota; Viridiplantae; Streptophyta; Magnoliopsida; Cucurbitales; Cucurbitaceae
Exons: 5
Source: RefSeq, a predicted model, not a curated record
UAGAAGAAAACUACCCUACAAUGACAGUUAUAUAUCUCAAAAAAUGAAUGGAAGAAAAAAAAACUGUCACGAAAUAUAAAAUUUCGCGUUUUUGGCGGGAAAAGACGGAAUUUUUCGGAAAACACUUUUCGUGACAGUUAUUAACUGUCAUAGAAUGUUAGGGUUAAAAUUUUUUUCUUUUUUCCUUUUCUUUUCUUUUUCCUUUUUCUUUCUUUUCCCUAUUUCCUUCUUCCUCCCCGUGCGUCCUUCCCCUUCUCCCCAGCCGCAACCGCCGCGCCUCUUCUCCUUCCUCUCGUACGCCGCGACGACUCCACCGUCUCCUUCUCCUUUCCUUCUCUUUUCUCUUUUCCUUCCGCCGUUCCCUUCCGUCUUUCUUUCCGCCGCAGCCCAGCCGCCCCAUCCUUCCCCUUCUCUCCGUUCGCGAAGCAAAACCGCCACCGCUCCGCCGGAAAUCAAGGCCAAAGGAGAUGUCAUGGCUAUGGGCUGAAGCUUUGAGAAAAAAAGAAUGAAAAAUGAAAUGAAAUCAAGGCCAAAGGAGAUGUCAUGGCUAUGGGCUGAAGCUUUGAGAAAAAAAGAAUGAAAAAUGAAAUGUGAGAUCUUAAACUUUGUACUUUGCCUUAAGUUGUGUCAAACUAGUCAAUAAAGUAACUUAACUACCAAUUUGCCUUAAGUGCCGGGUUGUUGGGAUUUGUUUGUUGUAAUUUGUCUAGGGUUAUGUGUGUUUGUGAUGUGUUGUUAGUGAGUAUGUUGAAUUUUGUGUUCGAGCUUCCAGAUGUGAAGUAUAUAAAAUGUUAUUUGUAAUUGUUUUAAACUUGAAACGCCUUUGAUAUUUGUUAUUCUCUUGUGUCAUAUGAUUAUGUUUCAGGACAUCUACUGAUUAAAAUCAUGAGACCUCAUGCAUACGUGUAUACGCAUAGUUAUUAUAUUUAAAAGUUAUGAUUUUGGUAAUCAUCAUCAUGGGUAAAGUUUCAGUAGUGGUUUACAUGACACCAAGAGUUAAGAUUAAAGAGAAAACGAGUGAGUUGUACACUUAUAGAAUGGUAUUACUUUGGUUUAAGGACUUGUGAAUGAUCUAUAUGUUUUCUUUGUAAGAAGGAUAACAAGGUGGAGUCGAGGUCCAGCAAGGGUGCAACACUGAAUGAGCUGGUUGAGCUCAAAGGUUGUUCUUCCAGCCUAUUUUUCGAGUGCAGAAAACAUAAAGAUCUUUAUCUAUGUAUGGCAAAGUGCCCUAGUGGGCCAUCUGUGAAGUUUUUAGUUAAUGCCAUUUGUUUUCUCUAUUGUUGAUGACCAUAUCUGGUUCUGGAAUUACCAGGUUCAACUGGAGUCGACAACUUCAUGAGUUUUCUUUCAAAGAACAUUUCCAGAGACGAACAUUCUCGGUUGGUCGUUUAUGCUUCUGCAGAAAAUCUUGUUAGAUGUAUUCUAAUGCUAUUUAAAAUAUUUUUUGAUUAAGGGCUAGUAUUUCGUACAUGUGGAUUAUUGAAACUUGUAUUAAGAUGUACAAAUAUUAUAAAUCGUAUUAUAGUGUAUAUAUAUUAAAGUGUUGGCUAUUUUUUUGUA